AGCAGCCGCGGUAAUUCCAGCUCCAAUAGCGUAUAUUAAAGUUGUUGCAGUUAAAAAGCUCGUAGUUGAAUUUCGGGGUCAGUAGGUUGGUCGUGCCACCGGUACGUACUGGUCUCACUGAUUCCUCCUUCCUGAAGAACCGUAAUGCCAUUAAUUUGGUGUUGCGGGGAAACAGGACUGUUACUUUGAAAAAAUUAGAGUGUUUAAAGCAGGCUAACGCUUGAAUACAUUAGCAUGGAAUAAUGAAAUAGGACGAUCGAUCCUAUUUUGUUGGUUUCUAGGAUUGACGUAAUGAUUAAUAGGGAUAGUUGGGGGCAUUAGUAUUCAAUUGUCAGAGGUGAAAUUCUUGGAUUUAUUGAAGACUAACUACUGCGAAAGCAUUUACCAAGGAUGUUUCAUUAAUCAAGAACGAAGUUAGGGGAUCGAAGACGAUCAGAUACCGUCGUAGUCUUAACCAUAAACUAUGCCGACUAGGGAUCGGAUGAUGUUAAUUUUAUAAUGACUCAUUCGGCGCCUUACG
RNAcentral lists this ribosomal RNA (520 nucleotides) under uncultured Glomus. RNAcentral's name for it is "SSU rRNA". It matches the Rfam family "Eukaryotic small subunit ribosomal RNA", at positions 569 to 1092 of the family's 1831-position model. The record is from RNAcentral. Lineage: Eukaryota; Fungi; Glomeromycota; Glomeromycetes; Glomerales; Glomeraceae.